GGCUCUGUGGGGCAAGGGUAGCACAGCUGACUCCAGAUCAGCAGGUUCUGUGUUCAAUUCACACCAGAGUCA
Molecule: transfer RNA, 72 nt
Filed under: Takifugu rubripes (torafugu)
Lineage: Eukaryota; Metazoa; Chordata; Actinopteri; Tetraodontiformes; Tetraodontidae
Rfam family: tRNA
About the family: Transfer RNA (tRNA) molecules are approximately 80 nucleotides in length. Their secondary structure includes four short double-helical elements and three loops (D, anti-codon, and T loops).
Source: Rfam by way of RNAcentral